Molecule: long non-coding RNA, 1398 nt
Filed under: Coturnix japonica (Japanese quail)
Lineage: Eukaryota; Metazoa; Chordata; Aves; Galliformes; Phasianidae
Description: lncRNA (ENSCJPG00005002380.1)
Source: RNAcentral
AUGGGGCAGGAUAUGGGGUUGAUAUGGGGCGCUAUGGGGUUGCUAUGGGGCACUAUGGGGCAGGCUAUGGGGCGCUAUGGGGCAGGCUAUGGGGCACUAUGGGGCACUAUGGGGUUGCUAUGGGGCAGGCUAUGGGGUUGCUAUGGGGUUGCUAUGGGGCAGGCUAUGAGGCAGGCUAUGGGGUUGCUAUGGUGCAGGCUAUGGGGCAGGCUAUGGGGCGCUAUGGGGCAGGCUAUGGGGCAGGCUAUGGGGCAGACUAUGGGGCGCUAUGGGGCGCUAUGGGGCGCUAUGGGGCUGCAAUGGGGCGCUAUGGGGUUGCAAUGGGGCGCUAUGGGGCAGGCUAUGGGGCACUAUGGGGCAGGCUAUGGGGUUGCUAUGGGGCAGGCUAUGGGGUUGCUAUGGGGCACUAUGGGGCACUAUGGGGUUGCUAUGGGGCAGGCUAUGGGGCGCUAUGGGGCGCUAUGGGGUUGCAAUGGGGCGCUAUGGGGCGCUAUGGGGUUGCAAUGGGGCACUAUGGGGCACUAUGGGGCGCUAUGGCACGCUAUGGGGUUGCUAUGGGGCAGGCUAUGGGGCGCUAUGGGGUUGCUAUGGGGCACUAUGGGGCACUAUGGGGCAGGCUAUGGGGUUGUUAUGGGGCGCUAUGGGGCGCUAUGGGGCGCUAUGGGGCACUAUGGGGCGCUAUGGGGCGCUAUGGGGCGCUAUGGGGCACUAUGGGGCACUAUGGGGCGCUAUGGGGCGCUAUGGGGCACUAUGGGGCGCUAUGGGGUUGCUAUGGGGCGCUAUGGGGUUGCAAUGGGGCGCUAUGGGGCUCUAUGGGGCGCUAUGGGGCGCUAUGGGGCAGGCUAUGGGGCACUAUGGGGUUGCUAUGGGGCGCUAUGGGUCGCUAUGGGGCACUAUGGGGCACUAUGGGGUUGCUAUGGGGCAGGCUAUGGGGCAGGCUAUGGGGUUGCUAUGGGGCAGGCUAUGGGGCACUAUGGGGCACUAUGGGGUUGCUAUGGGGCAGGCUAUGGGGCAGGCUAUGGGGUUGCUAUGGGGCAGGCUAUGGGGCACUAUACCCCUUACCACCCCAAAUUCCCCCACUAUCCCCCAUUCCCCCAUAUCCACCCCAUAUCCCCAUAUCCACCCCUUAACCACCCCAAGUCCCCCAUUUCAUCAACCCAUGAUCCACCCCAAAUCCCCCAAUUAUCCCCAUAUCCACCCCUAUAUCCCCCAAAUAUUCCCCCAUUAUCCACCCAAAUACACCCCAUAUCCCCCAUAUCCACCCAUAUCCUACCCCAUAUCCCCCCAUAUCCACCCCUUAACCACCCCAAGCUCCCCCAUUAUAUCCCCUUAAAUACCCCUUUACCCCCAUAUACCUCCCCAUAUACCUUCCAUAUCCACCCCAAGUAUCCCCCCAAA